Molecule: long non-coding RNA, 1755 nt
Organism: Coturnix japonica (Japanese quail)
Lineage: Eukaryota; Metazoa; Chordata; Aves; Galliformes; Phasianidae
Source: Ensembl
GGAAUUAAGAAAGUCAAACCCUUGUGCAAGCAAGAAAUGAACAAAUGCUUUAUGCUAAGCAACACUUACCUAACAAGAAGAGCUGGAGCCUGAUUUCCAUGUGUUCAAGAGGGAACCCUGAGGGUUGUGCUUCCACUGUGGUGGAAUCUAUCCUGGGAUGUGCCACACUUCUACUGAAAUUCGGUGAUGAUGGAGUCACUACAGUUCCACAAUUUUGCGAUUCUGUUGAGUAGAGAGUAUUGUAAAACACAUUUUAGUCAAUCCUUUUCAUCUUUCUUGUGCACAGACAAUGUUCAUGCUUUAUACUAAAAGUAAAGAGUAUCUUCUAAUUUGUUUCUGGGGUAAGUCAGUGGAAACUGAAAGAAUUUUAUUAUUAAGUCCAUCUCUAGCAGUCCAUCAAAAAAGGGCAAUGCUUGCAUGCUGUUCACUGGAGGACCAAAGAAGUCACUGGAAAUGAAACCAAAAGAGACUUUGUGAUCUCCCUAACAGUAGUUUCACCUCUAAAUACAAACCAGCUUGCAGCACAGUGAGAACUACUCCUCUAAAGCACACUGAAUUUCAUGCAUAUUAACAGCGCUGCACAAGUACAGAGAAGUUAUAACCUAUAAGGGGUAUAUCUAUAAGAUGCACAUUGGAGAAUCAACCCUCUGGGGGUCCAGUCACUUUCCUAGAAAAUACUGGGACCUUUCUACACACUGUUGUCCUGGGAUUUUGAGCAGUUAUUUUCCACAGUGCUGUGUGACACCAUUGAGAAUUGAGGCUGAAACUCACGUGGAUAUCUUACCUUCUGGUCCAGCUGCCUUCUCAUUGCUGAGUUCCUAUGGGCAUUGCCAGGUGUUCUGGGAAAGGGUGUGGAAGAAAAAGUGAAGUGCAGCCACUGGACACCUCCACAACAUGCCAGGCUUCAGAUGAAGCUGCUGCUGGGAUGAGGGGCAUGUAGCCAGAAACGUGGCAGCUUGGGAGUGGCACGAGUCCAAGGAGCACUACAAAGGGAGAUUGCUGAAAUCAGUGGGGAAACCAGCGGCUGAUACUGGACACAGGCACUGCUGUCUGCUUUAGGCGAAUCUGCAGCUGCUCUCUUAUUGAACGUAAUUUUAAUAAUCUUCAGCGAUAUUUUAUUUCUAAUGAGAAUCUUGCAGAGCAUGUUUUAUUCAGAUUCUGUUUUCUCUUUUUCUUAGUUAGUUGGGCCACUCUAUUUUUUAGGUCUUUCAGACAAUAUAGAAGCAACUUCUUGGCUCAUUUGCAUUUGAUAGCUGUUUCCAGAAUACACUUUCAGCUCACCUUCAUCUAACUCUAACUGCAUUUGCAGAGAAGUUUCCAGUACAACUAAUGCUCUGAUGUGAACAUCUAUGUCUAUGUAAAUGAAGCAAUUAGACAACUAUGCUUUGCUGAAUCCUCAUCACUGUUCACAGCAAUGCCUUCUCUUCAUGAUUUAUAUGUAUACUUGCUCCCCAUGCAAAUGCUAUUUUCUGUUAAUACAUACAAAUAUUCAAAUGAUAAAGUGAAGCAAUCACAAAUAUAAACCUUGUAAUACAAUGCUGGUGUUGUAAUUUAUUUUUUUAAGCCACAGAAAAAUGUACAGAUGAAGGUAUGCUGUUUAAUGUGAUUAUAAAACAGAUAAUUGCCACAUAAUGUGUUAAUGUUUCCUUCUUAUUAAAUGCUGUCUUUAAUUAAAUGAAUUCUUUACCUAAGUGAAGCAAAAGCAAUUUUGUGAUUUGGAUGCUGUCAAUAAAAUCAUUAUGACUAGUGAGAUCA